Prunus persica (peach) is the source of this 138-nucleotide small nucleolar RNA. It matches the Rfam family "small nucleolar RNA snoR137". Lineage: Eukaryota; Viridiplantae; Streptophyta; Magnoliopsida; Rosales; Rosaceae. The record is from Rfam.
GUUGCUUCUUAUGGUGAACGCCCUGUAAAUUUCGAUUGGUUGGGGAUGUUCAAGUUUCCGAAGCAUAGAUUAAAAAUCACACCAGUAUUAAACAGCACCGUGCCUUUUGCACUGUGCUACCUGUCUCCUGGUACAAAU